CAGGCCUAACACAUGCAAGUCGAGCGGAUGACGGGAGCUUGCUCCUUGAUUCAGCGGCGGACGGGUGAGUAAUGCCUAGGAAUCUGCCUGGUAGUGGGGGACAACGUUUCGAAAGGAACGCUAAUACCGCAUACGUCCUACGGGAGAAAGCAGGGGACCUUCGGGCCUUGCGCUAUCAGAUGAGCCUAGGUCGGAUUAGCUUGUUGGUGAGGUAAUGGCUCACCAAGGCGACGAUCCGUAACUGGUCUGAGAGGAUGAUCAGUCACACUGGAACUGAGACACGGUCCAGACUCCUACGGGAGGCAGCAGUGGGGAAUUUUCCGCAAUGGGCGAAAGCCUGACGGAGCAAGACCGCGUGAGGGAAGAAGGUCUGUGGAUUGUAAACCUCUUUUGAUUGGGAAGAAGAACUGACGGUACCAAUCGAAUCAGCCUCGGCUAACUCCGUGCCAGCAGCCGCGGUAAU
This 463-nucleotide ribosomal RNA is filed under the name uncultured bacterium. Its description in RNAcentral is "bacterial SSU rRNA". It matches the Rfam family "Bacterial small subunit ribosomal RNA", at positions 43 to 524 of the family's 1533-position model. The record is from RNAcentral.